AGUGAACGCUGGCGGUAGGCCUAACACAUGCAAGUCGAACGGCAGCACAGUAAGAGCUUGCUCUUACGGGUGGCGAGUGGCGGACGGGUGAGGAAUACAUCCGAAUCUACUUUUUCGUGGGGGAUAACGUAGGGAAACUUACGCUAAUACCGCAUACGACCUACGGGUGAAAGCAGGGGAUCUUCGGACCUUGAGCGAUUGAAUGAGCCGAUGUCGGAUUAGCUAGUUGGCGGGGUAAAGGCCCACCAAGGCGACGAUCCGUAGCUGGUCUGAGAGGAUGAUCAGCCACACUGGAACUGAGACACGGUCCAGACUCCUACGGGAGGCAGCAGUGGGGAAUAUUGGACAAUGGGCGCAAGCCUGAUCCAGCCAUACCGCGUGGGUGAAGAAGGCCUUCGGGUUGUAAAGCCCUUUUGUUGGGAAAGAAAAGCAGCAGGUUAAUACCCCGCUGUUCUGACGGUACCCAAAGAAUAAGCACCGGCUAACUUCGUG
Molecule: ribosomal RNA, 492 nt
Filed under: uncultured bacterium
Lineage: Bacteria
Description: partial 16S ribosomal RNA
Rfam family: Bacterial small subunit ribosomal RNA
Source: RNAcentral